RNAcentral lists this ribosomal RNA (365 nucleotides) under Puccinia graminis. RNAcentral describes it as "eukaryotic LSU rRNA". The record is from RNAcentral. Lineage: Eukaryota; Fungi; Basidiomycota; Pucciniomycetes; Pucciniales; Pucciniaceae.
GACNGGAAGCGAUAGNUAGGGGAAUGCAGAAUUCAGNGGAAUCAUCGAAUCUUUGAACGCACUCUUGCNCCCNUUUGGGUAUUCCAAAAGGUACACCUGNUUUGAGUGUCAUGAAACCCUCUCAUUAAACAUUUUAUUUUUGAUUUGUUUAGUGGAUGUUGAGUGUUGCUGUACCUAUAGCUCACUUUAAAUAUAUAAGUCACUUUUCAAAUAAGUUGGAUUGACUUGGUGUAAUAAUUUUAUCAUCACAUCAAGGAAAGUAGUAAAACACUUGCCAUCUUGUUUGUUAAUAAGAGACUCCUAAAACCCAAUAUCUUAUUUUUAAGACCUCAAAUCAGGUGGGACUACCCGCUGAAACUUAAGCA